UACCCGCUGAAUUUAAGCAUAUUACUAAGCGGAGGAAAAGAAACUAACAAGGAUUCCCUCAGUAGCGGCGAGCGAAGAGGGAAGAGCCCAGCGCCGAAUCCCCGUCCGUCCGGCGGGCGCGGGACAUGUGGCGUACGGAAGACCUCCUGCCCGGCGCGGCUCGGUGGGCCCAAGUCCUCUUGAUCGAGGCUCAUCCCGUGGACGGUGCGAGGCCGGUAGCGGCCCCCGUCGCGCCGGGGCUCGGUCUUCUCGGAGUCGGGUUGCUUGGGAACGCAGCCCAAAGCGGGUGGUAAACUCCAUCUAAGGCNUAAAUACCGGCACGAGACCGAUGGCGGACAAGUACCUUAAGGGAAAGUUGAAAAGAACUUUGAAGAGGAGAGUUC
The sequence is a ribosomal RNA, 383 nucleotides long. It matches the Rfam family "Eukaryotic large subunit ribosomal RNA", at positions 22 to 390 of the family's 3401-position model.